Molecule: transfer RNA, 85 nt
Filed under: Rhodobacter ferrooxidans
Lineage: Bacteria; Pseudomonadati; Pseudomonadota; Alphaproteobacteria; Rhodobacterales
Also listed under: 15 other names
Description: Rhodobacter sp. SW2 tRNA-Leu
Rfam family: tRNA
About the family: Transfer RNA (tRNA) molecules are approximately 80 nucleotides in length. Their secondary structure includes four short double-helical elements and three loops (D, anti-codon, and T loops). Further hydrogen bonds mediate the characteristic L-shaped molecular structure. tRNAs have two regions of fundamental functional importance: the anti-codon, which is responsible for specific mRNA codon recognition, and the 3' end, to which the tRNAs corresponding amino acid is attached (by aminoacyl-tRNA synthetases). tRNAs cope with the degeneracy of the genetic code in two manners: having more than one tRNA (with a specific anti-codon) for a particular amino acid; and 'wobble' base-pairing, i.e. permitting non-standard base-pairing at the 3rd anti-codon position.
Source: RNAcentral
GCGGGUGUGGCGAAAUUGGCAGACGCACCAGAUUUAGGUUCUGGCGCCGCGAGGCGUGGGGGUUCAAGUCCCUCCACCCGCACCA